RNAcentral lists this ribosomal RNA (164 nucleotides) under Dipsacus mitis. RNAcentral describes it as "5.8S ribosomal RNA". It matches the Rfam family "5.8S ribosomal RNA". Rfam says of the family: 5.8S ribosomal RNA (5.8S rRNA) is a component of the large subunit of the eukaryotic ribosome. The record is from RNAcentral. Lineage: Eukaryota; Viridiplantae; Streptophyta; Magnoliopsida; Dipsacales; Caprifoliaceae.
CAAACGACUCUCGGCAACGGAUAUCUUGGCUCUAGCAUCGAUGAAGAACGUAGCGAAAUGCGAUACUUGGUGUGAAUUGCAGAAUCCCGUGAAUCAUCGAGUCUUUGAACGCAAGUUGCGCCCGAAGCCAUUAGGCCGAGGGCACGUCUGCCUGGGCGUCACGC